RNAcentral lists this unclassified non-coding RNA (82 nucleotides) under Flavobacterium hercynium. RNAcentral's name for it is "Flavo-1 RNA". The record is from RNAcentral. Lineage: Bacteria; Pseudomonadati; Bacteroidota; Flavobacteriia; Flavobacteriales; Flavobacteriaceae.
UUAUGGUUUGCGUGAGGGAUAGAGGCGGUAUCCUUUUGCGGGCGAAGCAGAGCAAAAGAUAAAGCCGAAAGCCCGACCCGCG